GCGUCCGUAGCUCAAUUGGAUAGAGCACUGGUCUUCGGAACCAGGGGUUGGAGGUUCGAGUCCUCCCGGGCGUG
This 74-nucleotide transfer RNA is filed under the name Planctomycetaceae bacterium. RNAcentral's name for it is "tRNA-Arg". It matches the Rfam family "tRNA". From Rfam's summary of the family: Transfer RNA (tRNA) molecules are approximately 80 nucleotides in length. Their secondary structure includes four short double-helical elements and three loops (D, anti-codon, and T loops). Lineage: Bacteria; Pseudomonadati; Planctomycetota; Planctomycetia; Planctomycetales; Planctomycetaceae. The record is from RNAcentral. RNAcentral also lists the same sequence under 2 other names.